ACUCAAAGGAAUUGACGGGGGCCCGCACAAGCAGCGGAGCGUGUGGUUUAAUUCGAUGAUACGCGAAAAACCUCACCCAGGUUUGACAUGCACGUGGUAGGAACGGGAAACCAGACCGACCCCUCGGGGAGCGUGCACAGGUGUUGCACGGCCGUCGUCAGCUCGUGCCGUGAGGUGUUGGGUUAAGUCCCGCAACGAGCGCAGCCCCUGUUGCCAGUUAUAUUCUCUGGCAAGACUGCCGAGUAAACCUCGGAGGAAGGAGGGGAUGAGGUCAGGUCAGCGUGGCCCUUACGCCUGGGGCUACACACACGCUACAAUGGGUGGUACAAAGGGUCGCCAAGCCGCGAGGCGGAGCUAAUCCCAUCAAAGCCAUCCUCAGUUGGAAUUGCAGGCUGAAACCCGCCUGCAUGAACGCGGAGUUGCUAGUAACCGCAGGUCAGCAUUACUGCGGUGAAUACGUUCCCGGGCCUUGUACACACCGCCCGU
This 486-nucleotide ribosomal RNA is filed under the name uncultured bacterium. RNAcentral's name for it is "partial 16S ribosomal RNA". It matches the Rfam family "Bacterial small subunit ribosomal RNA", at positions 899 to 1397 of the family's 1533-position model. The record is from RNAcentral.